GAGUGGUGAAAAGGUAUCACAGUUGUUUCAUAUGCAACAGUUGGAAGUUCGACUCUUCCCUCUCGCCA
RNAcentral lists this transfer RNA (68 nucleotides) under Herelleviridae sp. RNAcentral's name for it is "tRNA-Met". It matches the Rfam family "tRNA". Rfam says of the family: Transfer RNA (tRNA) molecules are approximately 80 nucleotides in length. Lineage: Duplodnaviria; Heunggongvirae; Uroviricota; Caudoviricetes; Herelleviridae. The record is from RNAcentral.